AUUGAACGCUGGCGGCAUGCCUUACACAUGCAAGUCGAACGGCAGCGGGGGAGAAGCUUGCUUUUCCUGCCGGCGAGUGGCGAACGGGUGAGUAAUACAUCGGAACGUGCCCUGUAGUGGGGGAUAACUAGUCGAAAGAUUAGCUAAUACCGCAUACGACCUGAGGGUGAAAGUGGGGGACCGCAAGGCCUCAUGCUAUAGGAGCGGCCGAUGUCUGAUUAGCUAGUUGGUGGGGUAAAGGCCUACCAAGGCGACGAUCAGUAGCUGGUCUGAGAGGACGAUCAGCCACACUGGGACUGAGACACGGCCCAGACUCGUACGGGAGGCAGCAGUGGGUAAUUUUGGACAAUGGGCGAAAGCCUGAUCCAGCAAUGCCGCGUGUGUGAAGAAGGCCUUCGGGUUGUAAAGCACUUUUGUCCGGAAAGAAAUGGCUCUGGUUAAUACCUGGGGUCGAUGACGGUACCGGAAGAAUAAGGACCGGCUAACUACGUGCCAGCCGCCGCGGUAA
Molecule: ribosomal RNA, 508 nt
Filed under: uncultured bacterium
Lineage: Bacteria
Description: partial 16S ribosomal RNA
Rfam family: Bacterial small subunit ribosomal RNA
Source: RNAcentral